This 64-nucleotide transfer RNA is filed under the name Artemia parthenogenetic lineage. RNAcentral describes it as "tRNA-Phe". The record is from RNAcentral. RNAcentral also lists the same sequence under 2 other names. Lineage: Eukaryota; Metazoa; Arthropoda; Branchiopoda; Anostraca; Artemiidae.
UAUUUCUGUAGCUUAGUAAGAGCGCAACACUGAAGAUGUUGAGGCGGGUUAUUCCUGGAAAUAU